CUUUACACAUGCAAGUCGAACGGCAGCACGGGAGCUUGCUCCUGGUGGCGAGUGGCGAACGGGUGAGUAAUGCGUCGGAACGUACCGAGUAAUGGGGGAUAACGCGGCGAAAGUCGCGCUAAUACCGCAUACGCCCUGAGGGGGAAAGCGGGGGAUCGCAAGACCUCGCGUUAUUCGAGCGGCCGACGUCUGAUUAGCUAGUUGGUGGGGUAAGGGCCUACCAAGGCGACGAUCAGUAGCGGGUCUGAGAGGAUGAUCCGCCACACUGGGACUGAGACACGGCCCAGACUCCUACGGGAGGCAGCAGUGGGGAAUUUUGGACAAUGGGGGCAACCCUGAUCCAGCCAUUCCGCGUGAGUGAAGAAGGCCUUCGGGUUGUAAAGCUCUUUCAGCUGGAACGAAACGGUGCGCUCUAACAUAACGCGCUAAUGACGGUACCGGCAGAAGAAGCACCGGCUAACUACGUGCCAGCAGCCGCGGUAAUACGUAGGGUGCGAGCGUUAAUCGGAAUUACUGGGCGUAAAAGCGUGCGCAGGCGGGAUUGUUAAGCAAGG
This 554-nucleotide ribosomal RNA is filed under the name uncultured bacterium. RNAcentral describes it as "bacterial SSU rRNA". It matches the Rfam family "Bacterial small subunit ribosomal RNA", at positions 47 to 593 of the family's 1533-position model. The record is from RNAcentral.